UACAGAGGUCUCAAGCGUUGUUCGGAUUCAUUGGGCGUAAAGGGUGCGUAGGUGGCGCCGUAAGUGGGGUGUGAAAUCUCGGGGCUUAACUCCGAAACUGCAUUCCAUACUGCGGUGCUCGAGGACUGGAGAGGAGACUGGAAUUCAUGGUGUAGCAGUGAAAUGCGCAGAUAUCGGGAGGAACACCAGUGGCGAAGGCGGCAUCCUGGCCCUGUCCUGACGCUCAGGGGCGAAAGCGUGGGGAGCAAACCGG
This 253-nucleotide ribosomal RNA is filed under the name uncultured bacterium. Its description in RNAcentral is "partial 16S ribosomal RNA". It matches the Rfam family "Bacterial small subunit ribosomal RNA", at positions 524 to 776 of the family's 1533-position model. The record is from RNAcentral.